CCUACGGGAGGCAGCAGUGAGGAAUAUUGGUCAAUGGGCGGGAGCCUGAACCAGCCAAGCCGCGUGAGGGAAGAAGGUACAGCGUAUCGUAAACCUCUUUUGUCAGGGAACAAAGGCGGGGACUAGUCCCCGGAUGAGGGUACCUGAAGAAAAAGCAUCGGCUAACUCCGUGCCAGCAGCCGCGGUAAUACGGAGGAUGCGAGCGUUAUCCGGAUUUAUUGGGUUUAAAGGGUGCGCAGGCGGCCUGUGAAGUCAGCGGGAAAAGCCCGGGGCUCAACCCCGGCGAGCCGUUGAAACUGGCGGGCUGGAGUUGGAGAGAAGUACGCGGAAUGCGCGGUGUAGCGGUGAAAUGCUUAGAUAUCGCGCAGAACCCCGAUUGCGAAGGCAGCGUACCGGCUCCACACUGACGCUGAGGCACGAAAGCGUGGGUAUCGAACAGGAUUAGAUACCCCAGUAGUC
RNAcentral lists this ribosomal RNA (459 nucleotides) under uncultured bacterium. RNAcentral's name for it is "partial 16S ribosomal RNA". It matches the Rfam family "Bacterial small subunit ribosomal RNA", at positions 338 to 795 of the family's 1533-position model. The record is from RNAcentral.